GAUGAACGCUAGCGGCAGGCUUAACACAUGCAAGUCGAGGGGUAUUGGUUUUCGGACCAAGAGACCGGCGCACGGGUGCGUAACGCGUAUGCAAUCUACCUUUUGCAGAGGGAUAGCCCCAGAGAAAUUUGGAUUAAUACCUCAUAGUAUAGUACUUUGGCAUCAAGGAACUAUUAAAGUCACAACGGCAAAAGAUGAGCAUGCGUCCAUUAGCUAGUUGGUAAGGUAACGGCUUACCAAGGCUACGAUGGGUAGGGGUCCUGAGAGGGAGAUCCCCCACACUGGUACUGAGACACGGACCAGACUCCUACGGGAGGCAGCAGUGAGGAAUAUUGGACAAUGGGCGCAAGCCUGAUCCAGCCAUGCCGCGUGCAGGAUGACGGUCCUAUGGAUUGUAAACUGCUUUUGUACAGGAAGAACACUGGUUCGUGAACCAGCUUGACGGUACUGUAAGAAUAA
This 459-nucleotide ribosomal RNA is filed under the name uncultured bacterium. Its description in RNAcentral is "bacterial SSU rRNA". It matches the Rfam family "Bacterial small subunit ribosomal RNA", at positions 28 to 489 of the family's 1533-position model. The record is from RNAcentral.